AAAAAGGAAAAUUAGGCUAAGGAAAUAAUGCUCGAAAGGAUUGACCUGAGUCUCAUAACAAGGGUGUAAUACCCAAUUUUGGCUCGGGUAAAAAGGCCCAAAUUACAAACAGGCCAACAAGGGCCCAAAUCAAAAUAAAACAAGAGGCCCAAAGCUCAGUGGCCCAAAUCAAUUGCAGAAACCCUAGGGUUUCUGAGGAAACCUUUGCGCCGCAGCCACCAAGCACCACAUCCCCGAAUCUUCACCUACACCAAAGAAAGGAAACACAACAAAUAAACCACAAAAAUGGCAAGAAAAUCAAGAUUGGAAACCAAAUAGAUAUCAAGUAGAUUCGUUUCUUUAUUUUUUUAUUAUAAUGGCUAUAAAAAGGCCAUUGAUUUACUGUAAUAAAGACCCGGAAAAAGAAAUCAAUAAAAAGAAAAUAUUUUUUUACAGCAAAAAAAUAGAGAACACAAACAGAAGAGAAAGAUCAAUCAGAAACGCAAAGGUUGAAACAUUUUCCCAUUUUUUUUUAUUUUUAUUUUACUUACUGAAAUAAAACAAAAUAAAAGGUAAGGAAACUUACCAGGGUUCACUUCUGAAACGCCGUGAAUGGCCGAGGUAACCGUCUCCGAGGACAGACGGUCGGAAGUCGAAAAGCUUCUCGAAAUUUAAGGCUUUUUUCGGUCAUAUUUUGAAAGAUUUGGACAUGGAUUCAGGCUUAGAAGGCUAAGAGGGACCUGAUUUUAUUUUUUCCCUUUUUUGACCACCGCAGACGGCGGUGUUGUCGUCGGGGAAUGAUGGCUGGCGCGGUGGCCGACGAUCGGCCGAUGCCAAACUUAGGCCGGACGACUGAAGAGGGGCGAGAGUUUUU
This 853-nucleotide long non-coding RNA is filed under the name Gossypium barbadense (sea-island cotton). RNAcentral's name for it is "long non-coding RNA (GBAR_LNC015473)". Lineage: Eukaryota; Viridiplantae; Streptophyta; Magnoliopsida; Malvales; Malvaceae. The record is from RNAcentral.